Molecule: small RNA, 88 nt
Filed under: Arabidopsis thaliana (thale cress)
Lineage: Eukaryota; Viridiplantae; Streptophyta; Magnoliopsida; Brassicales; Brassicaceae
Description: ATSL254980
Source: RNAcentral
UACAGUAUUUAACAACAAUAACAUAUUUAAACAACAAUUUGCAGAAAUGGCUCGUUUGAACUCUAAUUAAUACCGGUUGUCAAAAAAA